CGCUUGCCUCAGUUGUAUGCCAGCAUCCACCGGCGAAGGCGGUCUGUUUUAUCGACGUCUAUCAGGAGUUAAUGCUGCAUAAAAUCCAAGUUUAUUCCCGACUGUGAUUUCUCCGGGAUAAAUUGGAUGAUACAUACGGCGCUCGUUCUCAGUGUCACGUCAGAUCCGGGACGAACUGGAAAACAUCAAAACCGUUUUAGUUUUAUUAUAUUGCUUUUUAUAUAACAACAGUUUGACUGAUAUCUACCGGAGCAAGAAUCAAAGUCAAUGGUACGCUUGAAAGGAUAGACGAUCCCAAUGGGAUUAUUGAGGAUUUAAACGCGACUCCGGAUCAAAAGAGCGCUUGCUAUAAAAAGGACAGAGUGCGCUCUGUAUGGUACAUACAAACACGGUUGGUUUCUGGCAUUUAGUUAGUUAAGAGUCGUCGUGGAAACUACGAGCCACGCCGACUUCGUCUAAAGAAACAGUAGAGUAAACUGGAACCUUUGAGGAUGAUCGCUUACCAACAGCUUGCAAUGGAAUGUGAUUAACCAUUUAUAUGUCAUUCAUUUAAAACGGAUUUGACUUGAAACCAAUUGUGAUUCAAAGAUUGGGGCCAUAUUAAUAAUCAGUUUUUUUCACCGGAUUUGUGUUGGUGGUCUGAUAUAGCAAUCAAGCUUCAACAGGAUAAUAGGCCUGUCUUGAACUAUGCAAUAUUAUGAUCGGAAAUCCUCGGCUGUGGGCGUUCUUUGCCAUGCUAUCACUCAUUCCGACGACAUUCGGUUUUCGCUGUAAAUGGUCGAAUGAAGGAUGCCAGUCAGGAGAGGAGUGCUGUAGCGGAAGUUGUGUACAAUCUCAUCCGGGCACUAACCCUCGAUGUACGAAGUGUCCGAUGCACGGAGAAUGUCUGUACAGUUAUCAUUGCGAGAGCCGACUUAUCUGUGGCUCAAAGCGCCGAUGUUGCGCCGACUACUGGGAAACGUGCGCUUUAAGUAGUGAUUGUUGCAACCCUAAGCAAAGGUGCAUAACUGUGCGAGGUUUCGUUUACCGGAAGUGUUUGUUUGGACCGGUGAGAUAUCCGGGAAGCUCUGCACGUGGCUCGCGGUAUCGGAAGACUUUCGUUUUUGUCCCCGUUUCGUUGAUUCUGCUUUUAGCCUUUUUAUAUUUUUAAACUUUUGCCUUGAAACCAUUAUCAUUACAUAACCUUUUAUAUGAAAUAAAAUUCCUCUUUCGUAUGCAUUAUUAUUAUUUUUUUAUUAGGUCGGAUUGAAUCUUGCUUUGAUUGUUAAUUUCCAUUCCAUCAUGUUUUCAAGAGAUAAUAUAUAUGUGCACGCCCGCUACUUUUUCUAUUUAAUUAUGCAUUAAGCAAUUUAACAUACGAUAUACUUAUUUUAACGUUUAUCCGACCAAAUAUGGAAACAAUUGUAGAAGUUAUUUCAUCGGAGAGCAAAACUAACAUUUCAAAUUUAGCAAUGUAUAUUUAUAAAGCAAAUGAAAUUAGAAAUGGAGUAUUAUUGAAUUUGAAUUACAUAAAAAUAUGUCAAUUCAAUGGUUCUGUGUUAAAGAAACACGACAUUCAAAUUUUGCGCUAAUCACUGAGUAAGCUAAUCACUGAGUAAGCUAAUCACCUUUUGAACAACCGGGCCCUGGUGUCUAACUUACUU
Long non-coding RNA from Mizuhopecten yessoensis (Yesso scallop), 1643 nucleotides. RefSeq lists it as uncharacterized. The record is from RefSeq and is a predicted model, not a curated record. The transcript has 3 exons. NCBI's taxonomy places the organism in Eukaryota, Metazoa, Mollusca, Bivalvia, Pectinida, Pectinidae.